UAACUCUGGUUUCCCUUCAAAACACAUAAAUCUUUCGCCUUUUACUAAAGAUUUCCGUGGAGGGGAACAACUCAAUGAGUCUUAAAUAAUUUUUUCUUGGCCCAUUAAAUUGGGCCU
RNAcentral lists this small nuclear RNA (117 nucleotides) under Procambarus clarkii (red swamp crayfish). Its description in RNAcentral is "U5 spliceosomal RNA". It matches the Rfam family "U5 spliceosomal RNA". From Rfam's summary of the family: U5 RNA is a component of both types of known spliceosome. The precise function of this molecule is unknown, though it is known that the 5' loop is required for splice site selection and p220 binding, and that both the 3' stem-loop and the Sm site are important for Sm protein binding and cap methylation. The record is from RNAcentral. Lineage: Eukaryota; Metazoa; Arthropoda; Malacostraca; Decapoda; Cambaridae.